Molecule: long non-coding RNA, 995 nt
Filed under: Scleropages formosus (Asian bonytongue)
Lineage: Eukaryota; Metazoa; Chordata; Actinopteri; Osteoglossiformes; Osteoglossidae
Description: lncRNA (ENSSFOG00015027401.1)
Source: RNAcentral
GGAUGGAUAAUUGCUUUGUUGUUGUUGUUGUUUUUUCCUACACUCAGUUUUUUUAAGCCAUGUGUCCCUAAUUUGUUAGUGAAUUUUAUCAAGUCAAAUUAAAUAUGGAUGAAACUAAAUUAAUCCCUGAUUUCUUGAGUGCAUUAACUGUGUAGACCAGUACAGUCCAAAAAUUAGCUUUGUCUUUAUCAAAGGGGAAACAUUUUAUAUAACACUCACUGUUGUUGAUGCAUUUUCUCUUGUCUCACCUUAUUCUAUUCCCUUUCCUUAUCAGUCAAAUUCAGAUGCUGCUGGUGGUGCUGCUGCUGAUACACUUGCAGGAGAUUUUGUGGCUCCCAAAAAAGCCUCUUCAGUUCAGCCUGCUAUGAUUCCAUCUUCACAAACCCAGCAGCAAGUUGCAGACAAGAAGGUGAAAUCUAAAUCAAAGAAACAAACACAAGGUGACACAUCAACGACUGACAAACGGACAGAGCAUUCAGGGACAGAUGUGGCAACUAAAACCCCCAGUAAGAAAAGCAGCAGAAGCUAAGUCUAAGGUUCCAAGAGGAAAUGUUCCCUGAUCCUUGACAAUAUAUGACAUAUAUGCUGAAGAGAACAGAUGUCACUUCCGUGAACUGCUUUACUAAACUUUAACUACUCUGCGGUUGAAGAUUAAAGUAUCCAAGAUAAAAAUGCACACCAUCAGCAAAGAUUUUCUUGCUUGCUUCUCCACUUUAGUCAUCUACAGUUGCCUUAUUUUGGUAGAAAAUCUUUACAUGAAUUAAAUCAAAAGCAAUUUUUUUUCAGAAAAGGAAUGGAAGAGUACAUAAAAUUCUUUUAUGUUUUGAAAUGGUGUUUUACCUCUUAAGGGGUGUUGGAAUGUCAAUUAUAUUGAGUGACUUAUGACAGUCUAUAAUGUAGGGUGUAUGGGUGAAAAUUAUCAAAUUAUAGCAAUGCAUGUAUAUGGAUAAUUUGAUUUCAAGGCAAUAAAAUUUUUUUACAAUAUAACUUUAACA